Molecule: long non-coding RNA, 2975 nt
Organism: Lepidothrix coronata (blue-crowned manakin)
Lineage: Eukaryota; Metazoa; Chordata; Aves; Passeriformes; Pipridae
Exons: 6
Source: RefSeq, a predicted model, not a curated record
ACAAAACAGGCGGGAGGAAAUUGGUCUGAUCUAGCAGCAGGAGCUGGUACUUUCUCAAGCUGAACAGCUCAGUGUGUGUGGAAGGGGGUCAGACAGACCUGUUUCACUGACUGAUGGACUCCCAGGUUGAAGCUGUGAGAUAAGUGCAUGCUGCUCUUCUCCUGUGAAAUGAGUUGCUGACCUCAAAGUCUGGGAAGACUUCUAACAGUGCAUAGAUCAUCUUGAAGACUGAAAAUUCGAGAAAAGUUACCCUCAUGUGAAAAAAAAAAAGGGUCCAGACCUUUAGCAGACUUGGAAGAAAGAAGGGUUUGUUCAGAUGUUUGAACUGUCUGCUGCUGCUGCCUAGUGCUCAGAACAUCACAGUUGAUCCCCUGGCAUUACAAAAGCAUCGACUAGGAGCCCAGUCACCACAGUUUGCUACUGAGUGCCAGGACAUUAUAGUUGCUCUGGUGACUAUUCCUCCCAGUGCAGUCGUGUAUCACUGCUACCCUGUCUGUCCAGGAGGCAGAAAAGUGAAACUCAUGCUUGGCACUUCCAUAGGGAUCUCUGAGUGCUAGGAGACAAAGAUGAAAACCAGCUGAUAGGAUACAGGCAACCAUUACAGAGGAAAUACUGGAUGUCAGAAGAGGGGCGGGAAGCAAUGCCAAGGUCCAGAACACCUUUGGGUGCUGCAACCACCUGAAACCUCCUGAAAUCACUCACCAGGGCUCAAACCACUUUUAAUAAACAGGUAACUAAAAUUCAAGCACUUCCUUUAUAAAGCCUUUUGGUUUCAGGAAAGUGAGUCACUGUCUGACAGUUCGGUGGGAGGUUAUUCAUCCAGGAUUGCUUCACUCCUUCGUGGAGAUGCUUGGUGAGCAGCUCUGCAAGCUGGCAGGCUGCUUUAGCCAGGCAUGUACUCCUACAAGUGCCACCUGCUCUGUUAUAAUCCUUGCCUCGCUGAAGUCGCCAGCAUCUUUCUGCUUGAUCUGCAGGGUAGCUCCCUCGUGUUGAACUUGGCUGCUCUUUUAGGAGAGUAACAGUUUGAGGAGCUGUUUGGCUCAGUAGCACUUGGCAACCUCAGGAAGCAAAUGCAUUCAGCUGGGCAGUGGGCACACGUACGUGCAAGGGGGGCUGCUGUGUGCCCCAUCCUGCAGUGUUAGUUCACAGCAUGCCUGUGCCUCGGAGGCACUCGCUGUGCAGCUGACACAGCCCUCAGGCAUCAGGCAGCUGGGGAAAUUGCCACAGAAGCUUUAGCAAGAAAACACAUAAUAGCCAAAGUCGAAGGGUGAAUUGAGAUACAGUGGGGGAGGCAGCUAUUAUGUUCUAGCUCUCUUUAAAAACCAUUCUGAGACGUGUAAGGUAUUGUGUUGUGUUUGUUGCUGGAUUUAAGACUGCUGACUGCCAGGCGGUGAAGGUCACUUUGUGCUUCCUUCUUUAAGGCAAGUUGCCGCUGUUUAUAUUAACAAGGGAGCAGCAGUGCUGGCUAACUCCUGGCAUGUUAACCUGCAUCUCUCCCGGGCAGCAGGCCUCUGCUGCGCUCCCUCAGGACCUGUAUAGUUGGAGAGUUGUAUAUCAUGUAGGUGUCAAGCCCAAUCAGAGCUUCCUUGUCAGGAUGUGUUAAGGCAGCUGCCUGCAAUUUGUGUUACAGUGUGCAUCUCUGCCAAUAAACUACUUUUGCUCUCCCUUGUGCUGCGUCUGCCGUCUGCAGGGCUGCUGGGAGAGCUGCCAGAGAGAGAGAGCAACUGCAGGCACAAAGGUGGCUGGGUGGCACCUCUUGUAAUCUGUGUUCUGCACGAUGUAUUGAUUGACUUUGUGGAUGGAUCCCAGGGGCUGAACACAAACAGCAUGUACCAGAGCAUGACAUUUUAAUCAGAGACAGGUUUAACUACUGGGAGCAGCUCGGGUAAUGUCUACUUUAAAAAAAAAAAAAUUAAAGAAAGAAAAUUGCACCAAAAAAAAAAAAAGGGGUGUAUGCUGAUUAUUGCUUAGGAACUCUGUGUAGUCGUGCAGUUAAACAUGAGAUACAAAUGAGUAGGUUGUGACAGGACCAAGAGCACUUUGAAGUAAAGCUGUAGUAAGUGUAAAUUGGGGAUACAAGUCAAGACACUGAAAUAAGUUUUUUGCAUGUGGAUGCGCAGACACCAGGGCUAAGCAGCAGAUCCUGGUCAGUGCAGCACCAUUCCUGCCAGCCAGCUGUAAAAUCACUUGGCUCAGGGGAUAGAAAGGUGUUCAUGCUGCAGCAGGUUGGGCUGGCAGGGAACUAGAGGGAUUUAAAAGAAGGUGGCUGGAGUUUUCUUUGUAUUUGCAAUGAUAGGGAGUUGUGAGAAAGAUGGAGCUCUUUUGGGGUUGGGUCAGCUCUCCCCACCCAUAUCUUGAGUAAGGGUUGAAAAAUGACUGCCUCAGAAACACCAGGGAAUGUUAUCCUCCUCCUUAGCCUGUAAUACACUGUGUAGCAGAGUUUAACCUUCUAUAGUAAAAUCUCAGGGUCCCUGAAGAGCUCUGUUAACCUUGAAAAUCUGUGUAGUAUGUUACUUUCUACCUGCAAAGUAGAAAGCACCUCUUAUUCCCAGGCAUGAAUGACACUGAGUCUGGUCCAGAGGCAGACUUGAAAGGACAUCCAUCUGCUGUUUGUGGGAAUUUAACUGAGCAGAAACUUCUGAAACACCAAAAACAGAGAGAAUAGCAGAACUAUUCCCAAAGCGCUGCCUGCCUUCUAAUUGCUGGCCAUCUCCUUUUGUGAAAAGAAGCAAGAGAAAGAGUUCACACAAGCACGAGUGCUUUGCAGACUUCUCUUUUGGGGAAAGCAGUUGUCUUUCUUCUCUUGUUUUUGGAUGCUUAAAAUGAGGAAAGCAACAUAUCAGACUGCAGAGAGAGGAAAACCAGUCAAUGUUACCUUGGUAUCUGAUGAUCAAAGGUAUGACCCCCCUCUGCUGUGCCUUGAGAACGGCAGUUAACUGUUUCCUGAGGGAACAGCACGUAGUUCAAAGCAGGAA